GAUGAACGCUGGCGGCGUGCCUAAUACAUGCAAGUCGAGCGAACAGACGAGGAGCUUGCUCCUCUGACGUUAGCGGCGGACGGGUGAGUAACACGUGGAUAACCUACCUAUAAGACUGGGAUAACUUCGGGAAACCGGAGCUAAUACCGGAUAAUAUCUUGAACCGCAUGGUUCAAUAGUUAAAGACGGUUUUGCUGUCACUUAUAGAUGGAUCCGCGCCGCAUUAGCUAGUUGGUAAGGUAACGGCUUACCAAGGCAACGAUGCGUAGCCGACCUGAGAGGGUGAUCGGCCACACUGGAACUGAGACACGGUCCAGACUCCUACGGGAGGCAGCAGUAGGGAAUCUUCCGCAAUGGGCGAAAGCCUGACGGAGCAACGCCGCGUGAGUGAUGAAGGUCUUCGGAUCGUAAAACUCUGUUAUUAGGGAAGAACAAAUGUGUAAGUAACUAUGCACGUCUUGACGGUACCUAAUCAGAAAGCCACGGCUAACUACGUG
Molecule: ribosomal RNA, 497 nt
Filed under: uncultured bacterium
Lineage: Bacteria
Description: partial 16S ribosomal RNA
Rfam family: Bacterial small subunit ribosomal RNA
Source: RNAcentral